RNAcentral lists this ribosomal RNA (301 nucleotides) under uncultured bacterium. RNAcentral describes it as "partial 16S ribosomal RNA". It matches the Rfam family "Bacterial small subunit ribosomal RNA", at positions 509 to 807 of the family's 1533-position model. The record is from RNAcentral.
CAGUAGCCGCGGGAAUACGUAGGUGGCAAGCGUUGUCCGGAAUUAUUGGGCGUAAAGGGCUCGCAGGCGGUUUCUUAAGUCUGAUGUGAAAGCCCCCGGCUCAACCGGGGAGGGUCAUUGGAAACUGAGAAACUUGAGUGCAGAAGAGGAGAGUGGAAUUCCACGUGUAGCGGUGAAAUGCGUAGAGAUGUGGAGGAACACCAGUGGCGAAGGCGACUCUCUGGUCUGUAACUGACGCUGAGGAGCGAAAGCGCGGGGAGCGAACAGGAUUAGAUACCCCCGUAGUCCCUGUCUCUUAUAC